RNAcentral lists this transfer RNA (59 nucleotides) under Planctomycetota bacterium. RNAcentral's name for it is "tRNA-Trp". It matches the Rfam family "tRNA", at positions 9 to 64 of the family's 71-position model. Rfam says of the family: Transfer RNA (tRNA) molecules are approximately 80 nucleotides in length. Their secondary structure includes four short double-helical elements and three loops (D, anti-codon, and T loops). Lineage: Bacteria; Pseudomonadati; Planctomycetota. RNAcentral also lists the same sequence under 1 other name. The record is from RNAcentral.
AGCUCAAUUUGGCAGAGCAGCGGUUUCCAAAACCGGCGGUUGGGGGUUCGAGUCCCUCC